GCUUUAAAUUUUCUAUUUUUAAACUAAAUUUACUUUUAAGUAAAUAAGCUCUAAAUUUAAUAAAUAAAAAUAAAAUUUUCAACUCGCAAUCCUCAGGAUUUUUAGGAGAAAAUUAAAUAAAUUUGACCUGUAAUUUUAUUAAGAUCAGUAAAAAUAGAAUAAAUUAAAGC
This 170-nucleotide ribosomal RNA is filed under the name Agrocybe salicacicola. Its description in RNAcentral is "partial small subunit ribosomal RNA". The record is from RNAcentral. Lineage: Eukaryota; Fungi; Basidiomycota; Agaricomycetes; Agaricales; Agrocybaceae. RNAcentral also lists the same sequence under 1 other name.